AGAACGAACGCUGGCGGCAUGCCUAAUACAUGCAAGUCGAACGAACACUUCGGUGUUAGUGGCGCACGGGUGCGUAACGCGUGGGAAUCUGCCCUUGGGUUCGGAAUAACAGUUGGAAACGACUGCUAAUACCGGAUGAUGACGAAAGUCCAAAGAUUUAUCGCCCAGGGAUGAGCCCGCGUAGGAUUAGCUAGUUGGUGAGGUAAAGGCUCACCAGGCGACGAUCCUUAGCUGGUCUGAGAGGAUGAUCAGCCACACUGGGACUG
RNAcentral lists this ribosomal RNA (266 nucleotides) under uncultured soil bacterium. Its description in RNAcentral is "partial 16S ribosomal RNA". It matches the Rfam family "Bacterial small subunit ribosomal RNA", at positions 26 to 321 of the family's 1533-position model. The record is from RNAcentral.